UACAGAGGUCUCAAGCGUUGUUCGGAUUCAUUGGGCGUAAAGGGCUCGUAGGCGGCGGGGUGAGUCGGGUGUGAAAUCUUGGGGCUUAACCCCGAAACGGCACUCGAAACUGCCCGGCUGGAGGGCCGGAGAGGAGAUCGGAAUUCACGGUGUAGCAGUGAAAUGCGUAGAGAUCGUGAGGAAGACCCGUGGCGAAGGCGGAUCUCUGGACGGCUAACUGACGCUGAGGCGCGAAGGCCAGGGGAGCAAACGGG
This 254-nucleotide ribosomal RNA is filed under the name uncultured bacterium. RNAcentral's name for it is "partial 16S ribosomal RNA". It matches the Rfam family "Bacterial small subunit ribosomal RNA", at positions 524 to 776 of the family's 1533-position model. The record is from RNAcentral.